AGCGAACGCUGGCGGCAGGCCUAACACAUGCAAGUCGAACGAACCUUUCGGGGUUAGUGGCGGACGGGUGAGUACCACGUGGGAACGUGUCUUUAGGUUCGGAAUAACUCAGGGAAACUUGUGCUAAUACCGAAUGUGCCCUUCGGGGGAAAGAUUAAUCGCCUUUAGAGCGGCCCGCGUCUGAUUAGCUAGUUGGUUGAGGUAAUGGCUCACCAAGGCGACGAUCAGUAGCUGGUCUGAGAGGAUGAUCAGCCACAUUGGGACUGAGACACGGCCCAAACUCCUACGGGAGGCAGCAGUGGGGAAUCUUGCGCAAUGGGCGAAAGCCUGACGCAGCCAUGCCGCGUGAAUGAUGAAGGUCUUAGGAUUGUAAAAUUCUUUCACCGGGGACGAUAAUGACGGUACCCGGAGAAGAAGCCCCGGCUAACUUCGUG
Molecule: ribosomal RNA, 434 nt
Filed under: uncultured bacterium
Lineage: Bacteria
Description: partial 16S ribosomal RNA
Rfam family: Bacterial small subunit ribosomal RNA
Source: RNAcentral